RNAcentral lists this non-coding RNA (99 nucleotides) under chicken gut metagenome. RNAcentral's name for it is "pemK RNA". It matches the Rfam family "pemK RNA". The record is from RNAcentral.
ACAAUGAUACUCCCGUCCAGCCUAACGUCCGAGCGUGCUGACAGCCGUCGCAGGCAAUGGGGACGGUCACGUGAGAACCACGCGAGGGGUGAGAUUCCC